CAACAUUGUUGCCAUGUGGAUUAGUGAAGGAUUUGUUCAUGGAAACAGCACAUGUGAUUUAGAAGCACUAGGAAAAGACUACUAUGGUGAGUUAAUAGCUAGGAACCUUAUAGAGCCGGAUCAAUUGUACUUGGACCAGGCAGUCUGCAAUAUGCAUGAUGUUGUUCGCUCAUUUGCUCAAUAUGUAUCUAGAGAUGAAGCACUGGUAGCUCAGAAAAUUGAAGUUGGCCUAACCAAUAAACUUAAUUCGCAAAAUGUUACUCGGUUAUCACUGGAAUGCAAAGAAUCAGAAUCAAAUGAGCUAGAAUGGAGUUCUCUACAAGCAAAUAGAUCACUGCGAACAUUGAUUUUAGUUGGGAAGAUGAAGAUCAACCGAGGUGAUUCGUUGUUGUCUUUUCCAUGUUUGCGGACCCUACAUAUAGAAGAUGGAAAUUUUGAUGCUUUGUCUAAAUCUUUGGUCCAACUCAAACACUUGAGGUAUUUGUCCAUAAGACGCACUGACACAUCUAGGCUGCCAAAAAGAAUUGCCAUGAUGAAAUUCUUGCAGUGCAUUAAUAUUUCUUACUGUAAAAGUUUGGUGAAGCUUCCACGUGACAUUGGAGAGUUACGGCAGCUGAGGUAUUUAAGCCUUGUUGACUCAGGAAUAAAUAGUGUACCGAAGAGUUUCGGUGGUCUAACUAAUUUGAGGUUAUUGUUGGGGUUUCCAGCCCAUGUGGAGGGUGACUGGUGCAGUUUGGAAGAACUAGGACCCCUUAACAAGCUCAUGCGUCUUGAUAUAGAUGGUCUGGAGAAUGUAUCCUCUUCCGCAUUUGCUAUAAAGGCCAGGCUUCGUGAAAAGGUGCGCCUCAGCUAUCUGGUCUUAAAGGGCACCAGUACACGUCGAGGUGCUCACAGUCACAGGUUGGUAAAAGAGGAAGAGCAGCAACAAAUCCAGAAGGUGUUUGAUGAGCUCUGCCCUCCACCCUGCUUAGAAACUCUGUGUAUUGAAGAGUACUUUAGCCAACAACUUCCAAAGUGGAUGAUGCCUACAGAAAUUUCGUCCCUUGGAAGCUUGAGGAAUCUAUGGAUGGAAGACUUGCCUUAUUGCACGGAUCUACCUGAUGGCUUGUGGCAGCUCCCCAGCUUGGAGUUCCUACAAAUUAGAAGCGCCCCAGGCAUCAAGCGUGUUGGGCCAGAGUUCGUACUACCACACCAUCAUGAGCACCCAAGCCCUAUGGAAAACGUUGGUUCUGAUUUGGAAAUUGAGGUGGAUGAAUGUUCUGGCCUCGAGAGGAUCAGCAAUCUGCCAAAUUUGCAGAGCCUCGUGAUCUUUAGAUGCCCAGGGUUGAAGGUACUAGAGGGUUUGCCUGCACUUCAGAGACUCGGGCUGGAGGACUACGACAUGGAAACACUCCCGGGAUACGUGCGGAACGUAAACCCAAGGGAUUUGCAUCUAGACUGCGACAUCUCACUGCUAGCUUCCAUAGCUAAAGGGAAAUCUAGCCCCGAGUGGGACAAGUUCAGCCAUAUCAAGCAUGUGAAGGCAUAUGCAGAUGACGACGACAACAACAUUGAAAGGAAGUGGUACGUCAAGUACACGAGAGAUCCUUUCAGCUUUAAGACAAACAUCAGCCUCCCUGCUGACGCCUCAGGUAAAUUAACACACCUGCUGCUUUAUACGUUGCCAACUUAGUAUGUACAUUUCAUGCUAUUGGAAUAUCUCGUCACUUGACUGGAUGUGCCGUUUAAUUUCAGGGGAUGAAACGGAGGAAGUGUUGUUGGACGAAGUGGAGGAAACUUCAAGGAAUGAAAUCGUAGAAGAACAUGUCAAUGUGGAACAACUGAGGGAGUAAUCGAUCGAGUAUGCUACUACAACUUGUUACUAGUUGCUUGUUAAGCUGUGUCUAACACUGUCAAUUAUAUAACGCAUAUGGACGACCUUGCCUGCACAGGUGGAGUGUCCGUCUGUGACCUAUAUGGACAGAAGGAUCCUUGGAGUGGCCAUCACCUUGACUGAAGAAGUAUCAAUGCAGACUUUGUGUUGCGAUUUUGUUCGCUACUGUUAGACUACAUUUCAUUUUGAGGCGGUCAGAUAUUCGACAUUGCAAAUAAAAAGAGACUGGAAUGUCAUGUGAACUUGUUCCUUAAUUUUUCUUCAGUGAUUUGUGUGCGCAUUACUGUUCUAUUCUGAUGCAGUUUACCAGUUGUGAACUGAGAGGCCUGUAUGUAUGUAAGUUGACUAGUUACAGAACAAACUAAUGUUAUGGUACAGCUUCAUUAAGAAGCUUGCUGAUUCAUGGUGAUAUAUCUAUAAUCUAUAACUCUUAUAAAGCAAAACUUCGCUAGCUAUUUCUCAUGGCAUGUAAUGCGUCCACCUCAGUAAUCCACUAUCAUUUGUCACUAGUAAUUUCUCUUGACUUGUAAGGUGUCCAUCUUAGCAUUCCAUUAUCAUUUGCAAUUAAAGUUCACUAGCAGUAUAAUAUCCACGUCAGCGAGAUACACCAUUCACUAUAGAUACAAUCUCCACGAUUAUGCUAAUAAAUCUAUAUAUAUUAUAUCAUAUUCUUGUAUUAUCAACACCAUAUAUACAGCUUCCUCCAUACUCAUGGCAACCCGUGGGGAAUCUUUCUUGUUCUGUAAAUGCAACUUGCUAGUAACUGAAUGUAUAUAACACGGUUCACCGAAUUUUUGGAUUUUGUCAAGACUCCAAGUGGGUGUUUGAGGCUGUGAACUACUUCUAUAUAUCAAGGCACGUAACAUAACCGAUAAAUAAUCCAUUGCACAACGUGUUCACUCCUGAAUCAAUAAUGACUAGCAACUUAUUUAAUUAUUAGUAGAGGCUUGAAACUUCUCUAUGCAGUUGCCAAUAAUAUUUAUUUCUCUAUGGUCGAAUCUUAGCUUGCAUAAGGGACCAGCCGGAGAAAAUGCAGUUUUUUGACGGUUUUCAUCUGAUACCUAAAUAAAAUAGGACAUAUAAGAAUUUCUCAGAGUACUGCUAGUUUGCUACUACUCCCUCCGUCCAUAAAAAUAUAAUUCUCACAUUUCGAGAAGUCAAACAGUUUUAACUUUGACUGAAAUUAUAUAAAAAUAUACUAACACUAAUGAGAUAAAAUAAGUAUCAUUAUAUUAGUUACAGAGUAUACUUUUAUAAUAAAUUUAUUUCAAGACUUGCUAAUAUUAUUUACUAUAAACCUGCUCAAAGUUAGAAUCGUUGACUGACAAGUUUCUCAUAAUUGCAUUCUUUUUCGGACAGAGGUAGUGCAUGCUAGCCAUCGAGGAGCGCGGGAGCAGCCUCCCCAGCGGCGGCCAGCUCGGCUCUCGCCUAGGCGACGAAGGAAGGGGCCCGCGUGCCUAGCUCGGUGGCUAGGUCGGCGCUCGCCCAAGUGGUGACGAGAGUGGGCCCGCAUGCCCCAGCGAUGGGCGUUCCACUGGCAGGAGCUUCCCAAGCAGAGUGGGAGCCGGGGCUGGGGCUGGGCCAAAAGGCGUUCCUCCAUUGUGCGAUGGUCCACUCGUCACUGCUUCCCCUGGCCUCAGAUUCGAUGGAAUAGGUUUCCGGAUCUAGUGACGACCCGGUCAGGCCCCCGCGCACGCACGCCGGCUAGGUCAGGCUAGGGCUAAGUGGUCUGUGUCGCGCAUAGAAGACAGAUCUAGUGGAUCCAAGGCAGAGACAGUGAGGCCCCGUGCCCCUACGCACGCAAGCCGACUAGGCCAGACAGCAAUUGGGUGGCCGUGGCCACAGUCGGAAGGCGAUGGACCACACAGGCCUUCCAUCUUCUCUCAGUAGCAAUUCAGGGCUAGGGCAGCGGCGGCUGACGGCUGGGCAUGCUAGACUACGGUGGCAGCUGGGCAGACAACUUCUUCAUUGUCCUCAUCGCCACCGUCUCGGUCAACCUCCUCAGCGGUGGCAGCAACUCUAUGGGUAGCGGUGGCCUGAAGGAGGUGGAUCCCAUCAGCAACGGCUGGCCUAGAGGUAGCAGAUGUCUAGGAGUCCAGAUGGAAGAGGUUAUCCUUGGGCAGCGAUAGAGAACUCUGGCAGAGGUGACGCCCAUUCCAAUGACGGUGGCUGCCCUAUGGACGGCGGAGGCCUGAUCAGCGGUGGCGGCAACCCUUUGGGCACCGAUAGCCUGAAGGAGGCGGAUCCCAUCGACAGUGGCUACCCUAGAGGUAGCAGAUGUCUGGGAGUCCAGGCGGAAGAGGUUAUCCUUGGCGUCAGUGACAAAGAACUCUAGCAGAGGUGACGCCCAUUCCAAUGAUGGUGGCUGCCCUAUGGGCAGCGAAUGCCUUGGAGCCUAGCAAAGUAGAAGUGGAUCCUGUUUGCCUUGCAAUGGCGUAAUCUAGGGGCGGCGACAACUUCGACUUCCUCUCGCUUAAUCUAGCUAUUUUAGAAGAGGAUGCCAAGAAGCAGGGACGUGCCAAGAUCAUUGUUUUUUUGUUGUUGUUGUGUUGUUUUCUCCUCUUUGUUAAGGUGUGAAUCUAAGUGUUCUUGUAUCUGGUCGCUCUCUCCCAAGUGCGACAUGGGCGGCGGCGCCGUUGCCCCGUCCUCGGGUUCCUCCCCCGCACCCUUCCCGGUCUGGCCGCUGCCCGAGCUCGCCGUCGGGAAUCCGGUGGAGGGCAAGGACGGCAGCGGACGGGCGUCUUUCUCCCUCUCCAUGCCCCCGUCGUUCUCUCCCCCUCCCCUCUCUCCUUCAGUGCCGGCGACCGCCGGGCGGCGUGGGGGUCAAUCCGGCUCCUCCGCGGCCGGAUCCGGCAUCCCCAUGGCCAGAUCGGGCUCCCCCACAAUUGGUGCGGCUAGAUCGGCCAGCGGCGGACCAACCUAGGGUUGGUGCGGCAAAUCGCCCGGCGGUGCUGUGAGGUGACGGCCUACUCGACGGUGGCGGCCGAUCUGGCUCGCCCCCCGGUGGGCUCGGUGACGCGGACGGCGGCACCAUUCCUCGAUGCCCGGCGUUCCCGCACCGGUGAAGGGGUCUGGCGGCGGCGGGUGCAUCUGGGUAUCUCAAGCCUGGAUCCGCCGGCUGCUUACCCCGUAUUGCCCCCUUCUCGGUGCGGGUGGUGCUCCGGCGAUGCGGACUCGGGCGGCCGUUGCCUCGGGUCGGGGACAUUUCCCCGGCGGCGACUGGGGGGUCGAUUUGGACUCCCGGGCACCGGAUGGCGAUGGCGGUGUUGGCACCGGCCAUCUCGACAAGCCGGCCAACCCGCCCUCCCACGCGGUCGUGGCCUGGAUCAACUGCACCAAGCACUCGGCUUAAGACCACGCCGCUCCCAGGCGGCCCGCAAAUCGGCUCUGACAUCCACAUCAAAGGACAUCGUCGCCCCCUGCUUUUCUACUGCCUCGCUGCAUCUGGUGAAGACCCUGCCGUUCAUCCCCGUUAUCUCGUCAUUUGCAGGUUCGGCAUGGAUGUGAGGAUCUUGGAAUACAGGUGAAAACCCUGCCUGGCGGGUGCUGGACUGGCGGUGAUGACGCAUCAACGUCAUCUUCCUCCUUGGAGGCGUCACUGUAAUUCCCUCUUCCUUUCGUUGAUGAUGGCGUCUGCGGACGUCAUUCACCUUCUUGAAGGCAUCAACACAAGCACACCUGCUCCUAGCCAUGCCCUGCACUACGACAUUUGGGACUCAGCUGCGGCGCCAAGAGAAAGCCAAGGAUGCCCUCUCGUUAAUCAAAUAGAGGGUCGAAGCAUUUGCUGUAAUGUCCUGGUCUAUGUAUAAAACUAUGGCUUUUCUAUCUUUUGUUUUUUCUAUCUCCUUUUGUAACAAUUGGCUGUGUACAUCUCCGGAUGUAGAGGCCGAAUAUUGAAUAUCCUUUAUCGAAAAAAGUGUUCUUGUAUCUUUUUGGCUACAUAUAUCCUUCGUGGUUAUAAAGGCUGUAUUAUUAAUUAAAAUACACUAUCUCGAAAAACAUGCGAACCAUCCAAGGUUAUCAAUUAUGGGCCAUCACGUAGACAUGAUGUAAUCUUGUUUAUGGGCCGAGAGCGGAGCAUCUGCAAGAUCCAUACACCUCGGCGUGACAUACGUUGCUCAAAACAAAAAAAAAGCUAGGCAUGACAUAUAUACUAUGUUGAGAGUCCACUAAAAAAUAAAAUAAAAAAAAAACCUUGUUGAUGAUAGAGGCGUGGUAUAUGAUAAGAUCAAUCUUAACGAUGGUUUUAUGACCUAGUUUUAAACAAACAAGCAAAAUGCAUGCACUGGCCACAUUGGUGCGCUGGGUGCUGAUGGUGCGGUGGGCGGACGCGUUGGAAACCCACCGGUUAGAAAAAUGUGUAAAGAGAGUGACCAAGUUCGAGCCUUUCAUGGGAACAACUCGAGUGCCAUGAUUGGUUGCAGUUUUAUACAAACAGUAAAGUCAUCGCGGCAAAGCCAUCGAUGUAUAUAGAACAUAGAAGAGAUAUGCUUUCACACAUCGGUGAAUAAUGUAUACAGAAGGUAGCAACAUGUUUAUUAAUCAAAAAAAAGGUAGCAACAUCUAUAUGGUGAGGCGGUUAAAACUCGUCCAUGACAUAUAGGUACGUAGAUAUAUAGGCUUACGUCCACCUCGAACAAACAUGAAACAUAAUUCUGAGAACAGAUGUGAGGCAUCCCAAAAUAAAUAUAAAAGAUGCAUGCUUUCUUCCUCCCAGGCAACUGACUUUAUUUCCCUUCUCUUUGUGACGGCCUUGCGUACUUGCGUUUUUCAGGACAUCUGUUCAUUUAGUCCUACAAAAUACAGAAAAGCGAAGUAGUAUAAGAAGAGCACGACGAGCUCCUACAACAUGUUUUACUUACCAUCUUUCUCGGGAUAUCUUUACUUUGAGAACAAGGCCUUACUUUAAGUCCUACUAUGUAGUGUGCCCAUGCGUUGCUACGGGAUAGCAACAUUUUGUACUAAAACAUAUGGAUCGCAUGAUAAGAUAACAAUACUGUAAAAAUUAAAUACCAAUGUUAAAUUGACAGUUAAUUUAAAAAACAAAGUUUGUGAAAUUAACGGUCACAGAGAUCGCAGCAUCGCAGACUCACAAACUCUACUUUUUAGAUAUUUCUAUGAUACGGCUAAGAACUGCAUAAUGAUCGGAAGAAACCCGGCACGUACCAUUCGUCCAGGUCCAACUCCAACAUCCGGAUCCUCCAUACGAUGCUGAUGCUGCUGCUCCACCUUUCUCGACCCAACUAAUGAUUUUGAGCCACUUCACAGAGAUGCCCAUCGUGCCGCCAACAACCAGUCACCUCAACUGCAUUUUUCUCGUUUUUUUAGCACCCGCAUAAAACUGCAGCACAAUGUCACAAGACGGGAGAGAGAGGGGGGGGGGGGGGAGGGUGGGUUUGCUCACAUUACUUAUCCAGUCCAAAUUUAGCCAAGAACUCUACCUGCAGAUCACGGGGAUGCUAGGGGCCACCUGAAACUAACAGCUUCCUUCGUUGUAUAGAAUGUUUGUUGGAUGGAGUUUCAUCAAACAGACUCCAACUUAAUAAAAGAGGAUCCACUUUUAGUCUCUACAUAAGCAUAUAGACAAGUUGUAUAGGUAACAGAGAAAAGUCUGCUAUUUAUUUGAUAGAUCAAGCAAAGAUAUCUAAUCACGAAUGAACCAUGGGAUUGCGUAAUCAUCUAAAUAUAUGCAAGCAUUUAGUUGCAUGUUCCAGACUGCACUGCUAGAUAGCUCUAUUUAGUCUACAUGUCAUUCUUAGUUCUAUUUACCUCCAAAUUGGUAUCUGCUAGGAUGCACAUCAUAGCUCCAGAUUGGCUAUCUAUGAGACCUCAAGAGGAAAGGAAUAAUUCUAUGUGUAAGCCAUCUCAUCAACUCAGAAAUUAAGAUAGUGCUAUUAAUAGCUGAGAAAGUAAAAGCCAACAAAUUUGGCACUAUAUUUUGUCUCCAGAAAUUCCUUGUACCAUGACCCCAUUAUUCUUGGUAUUGGUGGUGAGAGCAAGAGUGAUCACCUCAUAGAUAUGUUUAUAGAAACCUGAACAAUAAAACACAACACAGAGGUUCAGUCACAGGUUCGCGGUCCUAUUUCACCUGCUACAUGGUACUGCCUCAUAGUACAAGCAUUUAGGCAAAUUUUGGAAUCAAUUAGGAUGAUAUCUGGUCAUGGUUAGGAAAGUUUUGCAGGCAAGCAUGCGUACGGAGGUAUUGGUGAUUUAAGAAUACUUGUUAGAUUUCACUACUUGAGUUGAUAGUUUCUCAUAAUUGUGUUUCCAUGACAAACUCAGAGCAGAUAGCAAAGAUAAUGACUCAACAAAGCAAGCUAACAAGCUAACACAUCUAGUACUUGUACAUUUAGAUAUCUCAAUUUCAUUUUCUGAACAUCCAGAAAUAUAAUUUUAAGUUCAUUUUCUGAACAACAAGAGUUACUGUAGCUUUUAAAUUGGUCAACAAAUUAAAUUUUCAAGUCAUAAGCCAAGCUCAAGAACAAUAUAGUGAAGUUGUUGGCAUCAAAGUUCUGCCGAGGUUUGCAAAUUCAGCAAAAGCAAGAUUAGCAAAUCAAUAUAUGUUGAAGUAAUAGUCUGCAAAUUUACAGCCAUUCGAUUUCAAUACUUUCAUAUAAUUCAACUUGCAAAUUUGAUAACACAAACCACUACCUAUCAGUACUAUGGUUGGUUAACACACAAGGGUAGAGCUUAGCGGAAACAAUGGAAAAAAAAGUUUGAACAGAGCAGUAAAUUAAAGCAGGCGGCGCAAGGUCUCACAUCAGUUCCUAGAUAUGACAUCUGCAUUUUGGACAAUAAAUCGGGUCCCCAAUAUAUCUAUCUAAACUCAUAUCGAUCCAAACAUAAGCUCAAAGUCUGGUAUAAAAGUGGAACAAUCUUAAAAUGUGUGAACGGAUUGGGAUGAGAUAGGUAUGGUGGCAGCUGUCGGUAAACAACCUGGUAUGUGCAACUGGCGAUGACAACAGCGAAGCUAUCGGGGGAAGUCGAUGUUGGGUCACCGCGCCACGAGGCCGGUGCCUCAUCCUGCGCCAUCGCCGCAGCCCGCGUUGGUGCCGCAUCCUGUGCGACCGCUUGCUCUGGUGCCGCAUCGAACACCCCUGCCACCGUGCAUAUAGGACUUCCAAGACCCUAAUUUGGACAUCAAAACUUUUUCCCAAAAAUUUGGAGCCCUGAAACCCGAUCCGAGACAUAAAUCAGCAGAUAAAUACAUGCUCCGACCUCCGGCAUGCACACGCCGCUGGACAUGGCGGCGCCUAUGCUAGUGGGACGUCGCGUCGCCUGUGCCACCGGGAUGUUGCGUCGCCUAAAGCCACCAGGAUGACACGCCACCUCCGCUGCUGAGACGCUAGGCGCGGCGACCGGAGGGUCGCAGCGGGUCGCAGUCGCCACCGGCGUUCGCGGCACGGGCAGCAGGCACCGGCGCAGCCGCUCGAGCAGCGGGCGCGCGGCGACCGGCGUGCGUGGUGCGCGGGCAGCGCGGCGCGGGCCGACGAGCGGGCACGCGGGAGUUCGCGCGGGCAACACGGCCACCAGAGUCCGCGCGGGCGCGCGCAGCGCGGUCGCUCGGCAACCGGAGAUCGAGAGGAGGGCCACCAAAGUCCGCGUGGACGCGGCACGGUCGCUCGGCCACCGGAGAUCGAAAGGAGCGGGCACCGGCGCGGCCGCUCGCUCGGCUACCGGAGAUAGAGAGGAGCGGGCACCAGCGCGACCGCGCGAGCAGCGGGCGCGCGGCGGGGGCGCGGCCACCGGCGUGCGCGGUGCACGGGCAGCUGCGUGGAUCGAGAGGAGGGAGAUAAAUGCGAGCAGGAGGAAGGAAUGGCGAGCGGGACGGGAAGAAGAGAAGGAAUAUAUGUUUCCUAUAAUAUGAGCCGUGGGUCGCGUUCGCAGGUGGCGAGGAGGCAGACGGACGAAACUAUUGCUGCACCAAAAAAAUGUCCAUCUUUUACUCUUUUUAGUUGUAGGAGAUACCGCAUAGAGAAAAGCAUGACCAGCUUGUAUAUCUUCCUUGCUUCUAGCUCCAACAUGCUUUGUCGUACGUUUCCAAUUCUCAAUGGCCAAAAGCAAAAGCCCUCAGAUCAGGAUGGAUCCCUGCAAAGCCCCUAGAUCAACAUGAAGGUGAAUGUAGGUAUAAUGUACCCAAAUUAUUGGCAAAUGCCCUUAAACAGGGAAUGACAACAUAUUUUUAUGCAUUUAUCUUGUGGGGGUGCCCUGUUUCCCAUCUCCAAGAUUUGUACAACGUGACCUUGAUUACUCCACCUAGCGGUGAUAGAAAAGCCAAUUCGACAUUCACUCGUUCGUCCAUUCUAUAUAGGAUCUCUUAACAAUCAGUUUCAUCAACCCUGAAAAACCGCUGGCAUAAAUUACAUUUGCACUAUCAGUUUACUUAAGACAACCACAGAUGGAAAUAGUGAAUUUAAACUGGUGAUUUCCAUUAAACAACCACCAAUGUAAAAUACACUAUUUACGCCAACGGUUUUCUUAACAAACUGCCGGUGUGAACCCAUUUGCACUAGCGGUUCUUGAUCCAGGCCCACAUAUUUUACACUAGUGGCGCUUGCUUCUUAUGAACCGCCAGCGAAAAAAUCGCUGUCAUCAAGAAAUUUAGAUUAUGUUCUAGUGCUUACCUCAAACUCAAAUGAAAACAUGAAAAAAAAUUAAGAACAAAUGGACGAAAAAUAAAAAGCUUUACCUUGUCAAUCAAAGGAAUACGUGCUCCAUGCAUGUUCGCAUGUGACGCAUCACGCAUCCGAAAGGUAAAAGAUGCACGCCUUCGAAUUCCUCCCUGCUGGCAACUGGCUUUAAUUACCUUCUUUAAUUAAUCCGUGCAACGGCUCUGAUCAACCUCAGGGCAUCUUUAGUUAGAUCAAACGUUCAGGUAGCUGGGUGCGGCUGCGCCACAGCAUUUAUAUAUAUUCCUUGCUUGUCGCUGCAACAUAUGCUUUGUCAUUUCGCAUUCCAGUGGCCAAAAGCAAAAACCCUCCAGAUGAGAUCAGGAUGGAUCCCUUCGCAGCCUAAAGCAAGCAACAUGCUUCCAACGGCGUGGUCUAAAGCAAAAGCAGUGAGGGUACAUUCCUUCCUGGGCGCAGCAAGCACGCCCUGCCCCCUGUGACCUUAUUUGGAUGGACAUAUAUUCAUCUUAAUCCAUAUAUAUUGAAUUAGAUCAGAUCCGAGUGAAAUUAAACUAAGUUCUAUUCCAAUCCACUCAAACAAAUGUGGAUUGAAGUGGAUAUAUACGCAUACAUCCAAACAAGGCCUGACCCGUCUGAAAAUAUAUCCAAGCUUCCCGAUAGAUACAAUACAUGCAGCCUCUAUGUCUAUAAAGCAGGCCUCCUAUAGCUGCUUCUUCACGUCUGAUACCCCCACCAUAUCGCUUUCAUUCAUUCAUGUCACACACAUCACUGCUGCGCUGAUCCAUCCGUCGAUCUGACAUCAGAGCCAACUGCCAAGCUUGCAAACUCGUCGAUCAUCUCGCUCUGUGUGACUGUAAGCACUCAACAUUAGUUUAGCAUGUACUUCUCCUCGAUCUGUUUCUUUUCCUUUUAUUUCAAAUAAUGAAAUAGAAUUGCCCUCCAUAGAGGUCGCAUUGAACCAACCACUGAUGAUAAUAAGGUAUUUUUGUUUUAUUUGCAGAGUUGCAUUGAUUGCUUCCAUUCGUUGUGAUUCUAACCCAACAUCAAUUUUCUCAUAUUUGUUCAACGAACCACGAACAUACCAAUCAUCGUGGUUUCCAGUAAUACAAAAAUUGUAUGUUGCCCCCUUCCUCUAUCGCCGUCUGGUUUGCUUGAUUCAUCUGCUUCAUCUGUUGAUCGAACCAUCCGCUCUGUUGAUCUGUUCUCAGGGCACGUGGGUCCGUUCGGUGCCAGGUGCCAGCGGGUGAACUCCUCGAUCAUCUUGUUCUGUAAAUGUAAGCACUCCAUAUUCAGCACUGCUCGAUCUGUUAUUCGUUUCAAAUAAAUAAUACUAGUUAUUCGUAAUUUCAGAGUUGAUUGCAACCAUCCGUUGUCAUUCAAACUCAAUCUUUCCAUAUUUGUUUGGAUAAGAACGAUAUCUGUCAUCAUGGUUUCCAGUUAAACAAAAAAUUGUAUGUUGUCCCCAUGUCUGUUCUGUUCUGGUGUGGCUGAUUCUCAUGUGCUUCAUUUGUUGAUAUUAUAAAAGAUUUUUAUCCACAAGACCAUAGGACAGUCAGAAAGAGCAGAUUUGUGCACCUGUAUUGUACUCAUUGAAAUAGUCAUAGACACGUUGUGAAAAAACAUUGUUUGCUUGGGUGUGCUGGAGACACAAAAUAUAGAAUCAUGGUGUCCAGUGGACAAAAUCGAUGAAUGAAGUGUGCUACGCACAAAUCUGCCUUGUGUUGCAGAUAAAACUAAAAUCCCUAGCUAUGUACACUAAAAAGAUUUACAGUGACCUAGGUGGGCACGAAUUUCAACCGCCUCAGUUAAUGCCUGGCAUUAACCAAGCCGGUCAUUUUUAUUAACCGAGGCAGUUACAAAAAUCACCUCGCAAAAUUUAUUAACCGAGGUAGAUAUACUAAUGUAACCAUAUCGAUAAAUCAUUAACCAAGGUGGACAUUUUAACUCCAACCGCCUCGGUAAAUCAGGACUAGCCCACCAGCCCAAGAGGCCCAGUUCUGAAGUCACAUAGAUAUACAAGAGACUAGGGUUUCAGCCUCAGCCGCACUCCUCUCCCCAAGCGGAACUUCUCUCCCUCCCACCUCGCACAGUCGCACUGCUCUAUCACCUCACACAUACAAAACAACUCCUAAAGCGGCUAGACAUGCUGGUUAUUGACAUAGUUAUGAUUAGAAAUAAAUAUAUAUUGUCAUAUUAAUGUAAAUAUUAAUUUAUAUUUUGAACUCCAUGAUCAUCAUAAAAUAAAUUAGUUUUAAAAUUCUAUAAAAACAAUAAAACAAACUAAACAAAAAUAUAUAAUAUUAUUGUCAUUGUUUGUUACAUGUUAACAGUUUUUUCCCCUGUUGUAACACAUGGGCAUAUUUGCUAGUAAUUGAUAAUGAGAACUUUUACUAGCAAAUAAACACCAAUAUUAGUUCAUCAAGAUUCAAAUAACUUCGAGCUAGAAUGAUAAGAUAGAGCAUGAUUUAGGAAAAAAAUAAAGUAUUUUUGUAACUUUUUGUGCUAAAACUAAUUUUCUACGAAUUUUAUAAGAUUUAUAAUUCCAUUUUUGGAAAAGUCACUUUUUAUUGUAGGAUUUAUAAAUAAUUCCAUUUUAUAAGUUUCUUUUUAUAAGAUUUAUAAUUUUGUUCCAAUAUUGUAGGAUUUAUAAUUCCAUUUUUUCAUUCAAAAUAUCAGGAUACAUUUUUGGAAAAGUUACUUUUUAUGAAUUUUGGUCAAUUUUAGAAAAUAAAUUUUAUCCUGAUACUUUGAUUUUAAUGAUAAGAUAUCCUGAUUUGUAAAUUUUAAUUAUGAAUCAUAAUUAAAGCUGUCCAGGGUGAGUUCAAAUGGUUUUGAAAGUUGAGCGGCUGAGAGGGGACCACAAAAAUUGAGGAAGUUAAAUGACUUUUUACUUAGAAAAGCCGACCUUUCUUGAACCUCCAAAGACAGGACACACACCUUCCGAUCAUGAAAUGCAUAAAAGAAGCCUACAGGAAAAAAAAAACUGCCCUUGGAGCCCGGCCGCAUGCAGGUAGACGCAGCUAGUACAUUUGGGGUAGUUCAGGCACUUCCUCCAUCCUAAAUUAUAAGUCAUUUUAAAAAUUUUAGAGAUUUAAAUCAUCCUAAGUUUAAUAAAAUUUAGAUGAUAAAAUAAUAAUAUUUAUGAUACCAACUAAGUAUCAUUAGGUUUUUCGUUAAUUAUAUUUUCAUAGUAUAUCCAUUUGAUCUCAUAAAUCUUUAUAAUUUUUUCUAUAAUUUUGAUGAAACUUGAGAUGUUUUGACUCUCCAAAGUUCUUGCAAUGCCUUAUAAUUUAGGAUGGAGGGAGUAGUUUACCAAUAAAUAGCUAGAUGGAGCUUAGAAAUAAUAAUAAAAAAUAUUAUAAUAAGAGUUAUGUAAGCCAUGAGAAAGUUAUUUUUAGGAGAUCGUGGUAGACUAGCUAUUUAACUGUCAUUAGUUAUUUCUUCUGUCUCCUUGAUAGGUAAUAGAAUUCUUCGUGGACUAGUUAUGUGACGCCCUUAUACUUGAAAACCGUAUCCUCAUUGCUUCAAAAAUAACUUGCAAUAGUUGUAUUGAAAACCGAUAUCCAUCUAGUUAUGUAAGCUAUGAGAAAGUUAUUUUUGAAGCAACCCAUAUCCUACGGUUUCUUGCAAUAGUUGUAUUGAAAACUCCAUAAUUGUUUCAUAUAAAGUUAGAUCAAGAUGUUUUAUAAAAAAAAUAUUGAGCGUGAUGCGAUCUAACUUUAUAGUCCACAAAUUUUGUAUUUGAUGAAGCUGUUCAGAGUAAAAGAAUUAGUCUGUCUGCCACUAGUCCACUACCAGCUCAGUUAACUAGGCGGCCAUGCGCAACAAUAAGGUCGCCUUGAGUUUCCCACACACCUCAUGUCUCCUAGCUCCCUUCUAUGUUUAAGCUGAUUCAUCAAGCUCAUCCGCCCCAAUCCAUCAAGCAGACAGUAGCCACGCCAAGCUUUCCGACCAUCUCAAACCUUACUUCCAGUUCCAUCCAGCCAUCGCUCAACAGGACCACAAGAUACCAAUUCGUCCUCGUUGAUAUGUACUAUUAUACAUAUAUCAAUCGCAAAUCUAACAAUUCGUCCUCUUGCUUUACUCCCAACAAGACCACAAGAGACCAAGGAACUGAAGGACACAGAGCACUCUGUGUUCCCGCUAAAAAUCAAGCUUUAUAAGGUGCAUACAUACUCCUCUUUCUUUCCUUCUUUGUUUCUCUGUAUUUUUGUUUCUUCCACGUACGGGCUGAGAUUGGUGUAGCUGUGCUCUCAAUUUUUAGGUGCCCCACUAUAUAAUAUGUAUAGUAACAUGCAUCGUCCAUGUAUCAGACUUCAUGAUAAUAUGAUAUUGACGUCUGAUACCCAUUAAUUUGUCAACUCCGUGCUUUUAGCUUCUGUUACUAUGUGCCAGAUCUGGAAUCCAAAAGUGGAUAGCCAACCAGAUCUGGUGUCAACCAACUGCUGCAGAGCUUCCUUUAAUUUGAAUAGUGCCAAGAUUAAUUACAGGGGGGCUCGAUUGACGAUUUUACCAUCAAGACUAAUUUUCAUUUAAACAAAUCACAUGACAUUUUUAUCUAUAUUGAUUUUGUAGAUACAGAACCUGCAAUGGCUGUGGUAUUGGAUGCUUUGGCAUCCUAUCUGCAAGAUAUGCUGGUGGAGAUGGUUGAAGAAGAGGUGCAUCUGCUCUUGGGUGUUCCCGAUGAGAUAGAAAAGAUGGGCAUCAAGCUCGGGGACCUCAAGAGGUUCCUUGCUGAUGCUGACAAGAGGAACAUUAGAGACGAGACUGUGCAGUCAUGGGUCAGAGAGCUUAGAAAUGCCAUGUAUGAUGCCACCAAUAUCCUUGAUUUGUGCCAGCUCAAUGCCAUGGAACGGGGUCCGACCAAGGAUAUGGGUUGCUUCAAUCCCUUGCUCUUUUGUAUAAGGAACCCUCUCUAUGCUCAUGACAUUGGUAAUCGCAUCAAAAGCCUUAAUAAGAGGCUAGAUGACAUUGAGAAGCGUAGCAAAGCCUUCAACUUCAACCUUGCAUCUUAUGAGGACAACACGAGAAUGGUAGAAUCCUCCCUUCGCGCUAGGCGGGAGACGACGGGGGAGGAUGAGUUUGGUGUGGUUGGUGUGAAGAUUGAGGAGGACACUAGAAGUCUUGUGGAUUUGCUCAUACAGAAGGAGAAAAAUGUACAUGAACACAAAAAUGUUAUGGUUUAUGCUAUUGUGGGAGUUGGGGGGAUUGGCAAAACCACCCUUGCCAAGAAGAUCUUUAAUCAUGACUUCAUCAAACAAGAGUAUGAAAAGAGAAUAUGGUUGAGUGUCAAUAAAGAAUUUAAUGACAUUGAUCUAUUAGAGAGAGCUAUCACUGAAGCACAAGGAGACCUUCAAGCAGCGAGAAACACAAAGGCUGCACUAGAGCGAACCCUUAAGGAAGCCUUGAAGGGGUGCAAGACCUUGUUGGUGAUGGAUGAUGUUUGGGACCCCCAUGUAUGGGAGAAGGUGCUCGAGCCUCCUUUGAUAAACUCACUUGCUCGAGGAAGCCGUGUUCUUGUAACAACAAGACAUGACAUGGUUGCUCGAGGCAUGACGGCGGAGGUGCCGUACCACCAUGUCAAGAAAUUAGAGCAUGAAGAUGCCUGGUCUUUGCUGAAGAAGCAGGUCCGUACAAUGUCAAUUCAUGUGUCUUACGUGUUUUGUUUUCAAGAAUGCAAUUUUACUUCUAAUAUGCAUAUCCUCCUGUUGCAGUAACUUCUAUGUCAUUAAUAAAUUUCUUUGCUAAUGUCUUACACCUUAUCUCGAAGAAAUCUUGGAUACGUUUUACAUGCACAAUGGCUAAUAGUAAUUUGCUAAAAGAUACUUAUAGUUUGAUGACAAGAGUUAAGUGGGGUGUUUUAGUGUUGGAAACAACUCAUGCAAGGAAUCCUUUAGUUAGAGCUUGUUCCAAUUCCUACUAUUUCUUAGAAGUAGUAAAACUAAAGUAAUGGCUCUUCAGUUCAAGUAGCCAGGAAGAAAUGCCCAAUGCUAAUGAUUAUAGCAUUUGAACUAUUUUCACUGUUACUGCACAUAAUGUGCAAAACUACAAUAAGGUGAAAACUGACCCUAGUUGGUAUUUUGAACAUUGAUUUUAUGAAUCAAGGAUCUUCAAAGUACUAUUAAAAUGUAACUUAUGAAAGUGCAGCACGCUUCAAUGAAAAAACUUAAAAAAGAACCAGCAUUACUAACAAGAAAAACUUGACUACAUCAAGGAACGUGUAUAAUGUUCUUAUUUCCUUAAUUACAUUGCAAAAAUGACGUUAGUUAAUUAUGAUUUGGCAUAGGUGCUAACAUACUAAACAUUGUUACAUUUAUACAUAGAUUCACAGAUGCUUCACUAACGAUGAAUUUAAGCUUUCUAAAGUUUUACUAUAUAACUUUCAGCAUUUAAAUUUUGUCAUAAAUAUAUUUACUCUGUGAGUCCAUCAGGCUCAACUCCACCCCCUAUGCAAUUUUCUAUUUUAAAAGAAAAAGUCUACUUAACACCUUACUCUUGGAAAUUGUAUAAUCCAGAGUCUCACCUAUAAACCAGUCACUACACUUUAAAUUAUUAUAUAUUAAAACCCAUCUAAAUAACCCUCAAAACAGAUUUGAAUGCAGUUUUUAUCACUCGCAUAUUACAUAUGUGCUGAUAUAGCGGUGACUCAAUAAAAAUGGGAAAAAUGUCUACACAGCCCCCCUAAUAUAUCAACCCUUAAUAUUUUACGAAGUUAUUACUCCUACUUUUUCUAGUUUUUGUCGUCUCACCGUCAUCUAGCACCGAAGUAAUUUGGCACAUUAGUGAAGCUGCCAUUAAAGCAAUCUUAGGGAUUACUUAGAUGGUUUUUAAUACUUUAAGGGAUAGAAUAUCUGAUAUUACAUGUGAGAGAGUGAUGUAAACAACUAUAAAUAGUUAUGGGGGAUUAAAUAAAUAGACUUUUUCAAUACUAAAACCAACCAUUUAUAUCAUGCGAAUUUACCCAACAACCGACAGAGUAGUCAAUGAAGAGUGGUUUAACAAGAGGCGGCAUGAUGGACUUUAGCCUUACAGAUUCACCUUCCUAAAAAUUCUUGAAAGUCCUUAUAUUUUGGGAGGGGAUUGACUUUUUAAUUUUCAAAAUUUAGGAACAUAAAAAUAAAAUUUUGAAAAUUUUAUUCUCUCUAAUAGUACUUUACAAAGAUUUUCCAAUAAAUUAAAUCCAUAUCAGCUAACCAUAUAAAGAUUGUGCAAGAGAACAAAAAUAGAGAAAGUCUAGCUUAUGAUCGAGACCAAGUCCACACUUCAAAAUAUAUGCAGACAGGCCGGUUUGGUUGGGUGGCUAAACCACCAAUAAAGCUUCAGAAAGUCACCUUUAGGCUGUUUCUUUGCCUGUUCGGAGUCCAAAGCUACGUUCCAUGGAGCCACCAACCACCCUCUAGCCAGGCUCUAGAAAAACACGGAGGGUGGUCAUUUUUUGGGAUCCUGGAUUGGCUUAGCUCUGGUGGCUGUUCUCCUCAGCUCCCAUAUCUGCGACGCUCACCCCUCCGAAUUCACCGACAGUAAGCUCCGCAUCUUCUCCAACUCCAGCAGACCGCAUCUGCUCCUCCUCCAGUGAUCCCCAUCUCCUCCUCCGGUGCUCCUCCCAUAUGCAAACUCCCAAGGCAAGCCCCCCGCGGCAAAGGCCCGGCCCGUUGCACGGCCAGGUGGCGUGCCCGGUAGCAAGAGCAUAGUCCUCCAGGCAGUGUCGCAGAGGUGCUCGCGAUGCUUGGUAGUUCCUCCUCUGAGCGGUGAAGAAGUUCCCCCACUAGUGCAACAUCAAUUGUGCUUCUUUGGUAUCAUAAAUGUUAUUUUAUUACAUAAAUAUAGUCAAACUUUAUAUAUUUUGACUCAUCAAAAAAAUUAGAAUAACUUAUAAUUUAAGAUAAAAGGAGUAUAUACGAUAUGGACAUGGACUGAUGAACAGUUCUUGUGGCUACAUUUAUCCCUACACUCUAACAUUACAACAAUGAGUGUCGUAUAAGAGCAAUAGAGUAUGGAACUGAACCUGAGACAAACCCGCAACAGGAGCCUGACUCAAUCAACUUGACAACCCAAGGCCGCUCAACAAUUAAGGAGGCUCAGGCCUAAUGUAUUGACCCAACAUGGGGCUUUGUCUCGGCUUACAAUGGCCCCAACUUCUUACCAUCCUUCCUAGCUCUGUCAACACAUAUAUGGGCCUACAAUGUCUUCACCUUUUUCAUCCUUCCUAGCUCCAUCAAUACAUGGGCCUACAACAGCCCUAAUUUCUUACCGAGCUCCACAUGUAUAUGUGGGCGAGACGACUCAUAGGCCCUGUUUGGUUGAGUUGUGACUUUUAUAAAAGCUGUUGUGAGCUGUGACUUUAAAAAACAUGUGAGAAAAGAAGCUUUGGUAAAAGAAGAAGACCGUUUGGUUGCGCAACUACGGCUUUGGAAAAACUAUAGAAUAUGGACCCAACAAGUCAUCCCCAACUAACUCAAUCCCUCUCUCACUAAAGAGUGGCCCCACUCGCCAGCCUCUCCUCUUCCUUGUUCCACUUUGUGCAGUGGGGCCUGGAGCCCAUCGGCCUAGACCUCGCUGGCCUUGCUCCACCGAGGAUGCAGAAAACACGCUGCUGUAGGGAGGAGGGAGAGGACGUGCAGCAGGAGCUCCCGCGCCCAACACCGCGCGUGGGAAGAAGAGGCUUGUGCCGGCCGCCGGAGCUCUCAUGUGCCCAAGCAGAGGCCCAAACCCGGCACCACACGUCGGAGGAAGAGGCCGCACUGGCCGUUGGUGCCCCUGUGCGCGCCUACGCAGAGGCCUGCGUCGGCCACUGGAGCUCCCUUGUGCGUCGUCCACUAGAGCUCUCGCGCUUGCCUGAGUAGAGGCCCGAUUCUUCUUCCUCUUUGUAUGGAGAGCAGUCGAGCUCGACCUAGGGUUGCGGGCCUGCAUGGUGGAGUCGGCUGGCCGCGGACCUGAGGUGGGGGCGUGCGGGCGCCGUCAAAGUGGGGCGGUGGCGAGGUUUGGGCCAUGCAGGUGGCGUUGGAGCAUGAUGCUUGCAAGGUAUCUAGGUGGCGCGGGUAGGAGUAGCAGACGAGAGAUGUCGCCGACUAGAAAGAACGACGAAAUAUCGAACCGGUAUGUUCAUAAUCAGUGGCAAGUGGGUAAUAUUUUACCCCCAAAAGCAGUUGAAAGUAGGUGGUGAGGUGCUUUUGAAGAUGUACUAUAGUGAAAACUGCUUUUGGGCAAAGGCAGUUGUGGCUUUUGGAUUCAUUGGUUGGCUUUUGGCUUUUGUAAAAAUAGAAGUAGGUUCAAAAGCCUAACCAAACGGGGCCUAGCUAGUUACUCUGUAGCGCUAUAAACACGCGGUUUUUUGCCCUAGCAAGUACGACUACAGGGAAAACACAAAUCAUACAUUGCAUCCACGUAGAGUAUCAUUUAUAUUACUUCCAGUUUUUUUCCUGAUCUAUAAGUUCGUUUCAUUUAAUUGGCUUAGCUGCUUGUAGGUGAUCGGGAAUGGAAAUAAUGAUGAAAAAAAUGUUGACAGACUUAAGUAGAUUGGAAUGGAAAUUAUAGAAAAAUGUGAUGGUUUGCCACUUGCUGUUAAAGUAAUGGGAGGCCUCCUACGCCAGAAAAAUACGAGACAAAGGGACUGGGAAAAAAUCCUAAAUGAUUCUAUAUGGUCAGUGUCCCAAAUGCCUGAAGAACUAAACUAUGCAGUAUACCUUAGCUACCAAGAUUUAAAUCCAAAUUUGAAGUCUUGCUUUCUGCACUAUGCCCUCCUCGCCAAGAACACAGUGUUCUAUGCCAACAACAUUGUUGCCAUGUGGAUUAGUGAAGGAUUUGUUCGUGGAAACAGCACAUGUGAUUUAGAAGCACUAGGAAAGGACUACCAUGGCCAGUUAAUAGCUUUUUUUUAGAUAAAGGAUAUAAAAUCCGGCCUCUACAUCCGAGGAUGUACACAGCCCAGUAUUACAGAGUUUUAUAAGAGAUAAACAAAGAGAGCCAAAGUCCUAUACAUGGACCAGGACGCUAGUUUAAACAAUAUAAAUGUUUCCAUCCUUUAUUGGAUAUCUCUAAAGCAAUUACUUCUAAUUUCUUGCUUAUCUUCGAGAGCACGUCCAUGGCUGUCUCAUCAUGCUGCAGCUGAGCCCAAAAGCAUAACCAGUACGCUCCCCUGAAAAUUACCUGCAUAAUAGAGUUAGUUUUCAUUUUAUUAAAAACAUAAUCAUUGCGGCAUCUCCAAAUAGCCCAAAGCAAAGCAGCCACCCCCACCCAAAUCAGAUCUCUAAUCUUUUUAUUUUAAUUAGAUAGCCAAGUACCAAACAUGUGGCUGAUUGAUCUAGGUUGGGUCAAACUAGUAGCAAAGAAGAUAAUCCUCCAAAUCAUUUUGGUAAAGAGACAGUCUAGGAAUAAAUGUUGAAUAGUUUCAUUCCCAUUACACCAAAUGCACUUCUGACUCCCUUUCCAAUUUUUCGUAGCAAGGUUGUCUUUGGUUAGGACGACACCCCUUUGCAGGAACCAAAGAAAAAUUUUAAUUUUUAGAGGUACCUUUAUCUUCCAGAUCUUCCUAUGCCGAAAGGGUGUAUGUGUAUCUAUAAGAUUGAGAUACAAGGAACGGACAGAGAAGAACCCUGAUCUGGUUAAACUCUAUCUGAAAUAAUCUGAACCAUCCACCAAUUCGACAUGGGAUAUCUUUGCCACUAGACUAAGCCAAUCUGUAAGUUUAUUAUCCACCAAGGCCCUCCUAAAAGAUAUGUUCAGAGGGUUCGUACUCAUCACUUUUGAGACUGUGGCGUGAGGAUCUCUCACUAUGUUAUAUAAAGAUGGAUAACUAGCUUUCAGAGACUUAGCCCAUACCCAUGUAUCAUCCUAAAACCUAGCUGCGGUUCCAUCUUUAAUAUGAAAAGAACCUUUUGCCAACACCUCAUCUUUGAUACGCAUGAGGCCUCUCCAAAAAUGGGAGUCAUUGGGCUUAGCUGUCACCUGGGAUAGGCUUUUGGAGUUUAGGUAUUUAUUCCUUAAAAGUGUUUGCCAUAUACCUUCUGUAUUCAAUAGAUUAACCAGCCAUUUGGCUAGGAGGCACUUGUUUUGCAAUUGUAAAUUUAGGAUACCUAAUCCUCCUUGAUCCUUAGGGCGGCACAGGAUGUCCCAUUUGGCAAGGCGAUAUAUAUGUUUAUCAGAAGAUCCUUGCCAAAAGAACCUUGAUCUAUAAUGAUCUAGGUUCUUUAAGACUCCCUUGGGAAUCUCAAAGAAAGACAUCAUGAACAUCGGCAGGCUACUUAGGACUGAAUUAAGCAGUACUAGUCUUCCCCCAUAAGACAGGUACUUCGCUUUCCAGCAAGAGAGUUUCUGUUUGAAACGAUCUUCUACUUUUCUCCAUUCAGAAUUAAGGAGUUGUCUAUGAUGCAUAGGGAUCCCAAGAUAUCGGAAGGGAUAUUCACCAGUAUUGCAUCCAAAGAGACUAGUAUAAAAGGAUUCCAUCUCUUUAUCAGCUCCAUAGCAGAAGACUUCAAAUUCUGUGCUUGUUCGAGGUUGUGAUCAAUAAAGAUAAUGGUGUCAUCUGCAUACUGUAAUAUGGACAGACCAUCAUCUAUAAGGUGGGGUAUAACACCUCUUAUCUGACCGUCGGCUUUUGCUCUGUUAAUAAGGAGAGCUAGCAUAUCUGCGACGAUGUUGAAUAAGAUUGGUGACAUUGGAUCUCCCUGUCUGAGUCCACGUUUGGUCUGGAAGUAGGGCCCUAUGUCAUCAUUGACUUUGAUUCCCACACUCCCACCUGUGACCAUAGUUUCUACCCAUCGACACCAUUUGGGGGAGAAACCUUUCAUACGUAGCGUUUGUUGUAAAAAAGACCACUUCACUUUGUCGUAUGCCUUUUCAAAAUCAAUUUUGAAAAUGACACCGUCUCUCUUUUUAGUGUGAAGCUCAUGGAUGGUUUCAUGUAAGAUGACGACCCCCUCCAUUAUAUUCCUGCCUGGCAUAAAGGCAGUUUGUGUUGGUCUCACUACAGUUUUAGCUACCAUAUUAAGCCUAUUUGUGCCCACUUUAGUGAAUAUUUUAAAGCUCACAUUAAGAACACAAAUUGGCCUGUAUUGCUGAUUUUUUAUGGCAUUAUUAACUUUUGGGAUUAAGGUAAUAAUACCAAAAUUCAGACUAUAUAGGUCAAGAGUCUUCCUAUACAGCUCAGUGAAUAAGGGAAGGAGAUCAUCCUUUAUCACUUCCCAAAACACCUGAUAGAAUUCCACCGGAAAACCAUCUGGUCCUGGAGCUUUAUUAUGCUCCAUUUGGAAGACCGCAUCCCUCACUUCAGAUUCAGUGAAAGGGCUAAUGAGGAUGUCAUUUUCCUCUGGAGAUACCUGUGGAAUAUCCAGGAUUUGGUCUUCCCUAAGGGAAAUCUCUACACUCUCCGGCUGUCCAAAGAGUUCUUUAUAGUAAGUCGUAAUAUGUCUUUUGAGAUUAUAAUCUCCUAUCACAGCACCUUGAUCAUUCUCAAGUUUAUAGAUAUGUUGCUUGCGAUGUUUCCCGUUGGCCACUAAAUGAAAGAACCGAGUGUUAGCAUCCCCUUCCAAUAGGGUUUUAACUUUGGCUCUCUGGUACCAUUUCAGUUCCUCCUCUAUCAGAAGGUUAACCAAACGCUCUUUUAGGUAAUGCUUCAGAUUGAUCUCUUGAUCACAUAAAGGAGAGAUCACAGCUUUCUUAUCAAUUUUCUCUAAAAGAGCUAACAAAGUCUUUUUUCUUUUCGAUAUGACCCUGCUGUGUGUUUUGCCUAUCCCCUUAGAUAUUGGCAGAGUCUACAAAUUUUAAACUGCCAUCGUUCAAGGGGAGUUGACCCAGAGCAUGGAGAUUGCCAAAUAUUUGCAACCAUAUCAUAAAAUCCAUCUCUUAUCAUCCAUCCUCUCUCAAAUUUGAAAAGGACUAUUGUGGGCCUGGUGGGUCGAAGCACCUGUAUUAAAAACCAGGGGGGUAUGGUCUGAAAUAUUACCAUCCCUUGGUUCUACUGUGGUUAAAGGAAACGUGAUUUCCAUUUCUGUGGUAACUAGGACUCUAUCCAACUUUUCAAAAGUUGGAUUAUCCCCUGGGCCAGUCCUUGUGUAUUGGCAGCCAGUCAUAGUAAUCUCCUUAAGAUCUAGAGAUUCAAUAAUAGCAUUAAAAAGAUCUGGCCAUUUAGGGUCAAAGUCCCCAGUACUUUUAUCUUCAGGGCAUCGCAUAAUAUUAAAAUCCCCUCCUAUGAUAUAUGGUAGGGAUUCUUUAGAGCACGUGUUAGCCAUUUCAACUAGGAAAUCACGCUUAUGCUGGAGUUGUGCUGGUCCAUAGACCGAAUAUAGCACAAACUUAGUCAUUUGAUUUGACUCUAAAGGUGAAUUUUACAUAAUAGUCUCCCUCCACAAUAGCUCCAAUGUCAAAGACAUUCAUGUUCACACCGAGCAAGAUACCCCCCGACCUACCGUGGGGUGCCAUAGUGUGCCAAUGGAAAUCAUGUCCUCCACAAAGAUUUUUAAGAACAUGAUCUGGGAAUGAGUCCCGCCCUGUUUCGGAAAGCGCAAUAAAAUUAAUCUGCUCUUCCUUAACUAGUUCAGCCAAAUACCUAUGCUUAGCCAAGUCUCCCAGACCUCUGCGAUUCCAGAAGACACCCUUCAUUUUAUGAUAAUUUUGGAAGGGGUUUUUGGUUUUUUAGGAAGUUUGCCUUUCAAAGUAUUUUUGGCAUUAUUGUAUUUUUUCUUCAUUGGGAGUGGAGAGAGAUCGAUUAAUUGAUCACUCUCAUCCUCCAGCAAAUUCCCAUUUAAAUUACCACAGGCGUGGCUGAGAAUUGCAUCAAUUUGGCUUUCUCGCUCAUCAUCACUCUCAAAAUUGGAGAGUCUGGAUUUGAUAGAGCAUUUUUUUUCAUUAGCACAUAAAACCAACCUAUCUACCUCUAAGUUUUUAAAACAGAGUACGUCUGAGGUAUCUAGGUUGAUGCCUAUCCUACCAAAGUUUGAAAUAACUUUAGGAUCUGGAAAGCUAGCGAAAGAGUUACCUGGAAAUUCGAAGUUCUUUUUCGCUGCCAUCCGUUCAACCUUGUGCAUAUCGUCCUGAAGAUUACCUAUGAAUUCAAGGUUCUUCUUUGCCGUCAGCCGUUCGGUCUUCUAUAGGGUAUGGACGUCGGCCAUCGCCGCAAUCCUGGAGCUCCGUCGCAACUCUUUAAUAGGAGGAGCAGCCGCUGGGGGUUUGAAAAACCCCACUGUCAGUGAAGCCUUGGCCAGCUGCGAAGGAGAUGCAGGGGACCUGGGUAGCGACGCAGCAGCAGCAGUGGCCGUCGCGGUCGUGGGGUCCUCCGUCGCCCUGAGAGGCGUGUCCCCAGCUGCAUGGGAGGCAGGGCGGGGUGCGGCUGUUGGCACACCUAUCUCCCCAACAGCCGUAGCACUGGCCACUGCGGCAUCUGGAGAAGCAGGCGAGGGGGCACCAAUCAUCGCGCCCUCCAACUCGGCACUUGGAGGAGUAGAAGGCGAGGGGGCAGCGGGCGAGACACCUCCCCUCACCCCUGCAGGAGCAGCACCACCCCUCACCUCGGCACUGUGAGCCGGUAGUGAAGGAGCCGCGAUAGUAGACUUCCUCACUAGCGGCCUGGUGGGUGCUGUCACCGACGCGACAGUGACUCCCAAUGACGCCACAGUGGAAGCAGAGACGGUGUCCGCAGGAGCCGUGACGUCCCCCAUCACCACACUAGUGGGGGCAGCAGAAGCGAGAGUAUCUCCUGGAACCUGGACAUCGCCCUCUCCCACCAGGGCCCGGUCCAGCACUGAGGAGACGUGGACCAGCGCGGAGGGGGCGUGGUCUAGUGUGGAGGUGGGGGGGGGGCAGUUGCUGAAGUAGAGCCCCUGUACUGUCCUAGACAAGAGCAGUAUCCGCCACCGCACAGCCCUGUAAGUCUGCAGCAACGUCUCCAACAGAGACAAGCGACGAUGGUAACACAGAAAUAGAAGAAGGGUGAAUAUGAUUAGGAUACUCAGCAAGGGCAUUAUAUGCUGCCAACUCUUCUUCCAUUAGGGGCGAAUAAGUCUUCAGUGUAGCCCCGUCAUCUGCUUCAAGCAUGACCUUAAGACUGAUCUCAUUUAGUAGCUGUUCGCAGCCCUGGUCCAGGGCCACUCCCACCAAUGAUGAUUGCUGCUGAUGUGGCAUGUUUUGGGGAGGUGCCUGAGACUUGUCAGAUAGAGUUUUCGGGUUAGGAUCUUGAGGUUUGGGAUACUCAUCCUCAGCAUCUUUCAUCACACGGUCUCCCCCAGAAAGAUUAUCAUCAUCACCCAACAGAUCAUCAUCAUCUGGGUCGGAGUCAUUAUUGUGGAUAGCUUCGUGAGUCUUGAACAAAAGACGGUAAACGCUAUUGCCAACACACACAUCAGCUUGCUUGGGGAUUUUUUUAACAUCAAGGACCGCUACUAGGAUGCGGACCUGACCAGUUGCGCGAAGGUGCACCAUGUCAACCUUUUGUGUGGCUCCCAUAAUGGACCCAACAGCCCAAAGAGGAAGAAACGAACGAAGAACACGGGGCACCUUGGUGACAGUCACCCAGACCUGCUCUAGCACUUUGAUCGGUUGGACAUCAUCAACAAAUUCUUCAAAUAUGAUGGUACCCUCUCUGUUCUUCGUGGUGAUCGUACGAAUGGCGAUCAUACGUUCCAGCUCUUCCAAACUUGGGAACGGGACAACAAAUGAUUUACCAUCUUGCUCCUGCACCUACCACACCCAAUGGACUGGAAUAAUCCUAGCCAGUUCUGCUUGAAGCAACUGAGCAGAUACCUCGCCUGCUUCCACAGUGAUGAGAGCUGUAGCUGAUGACUGAAUCGGAUUAACAAUUUGAUUGUUUUUGGCUGCUUGGAUCUGGAAAAAGCCCAUCCCAUCCUCGGCGGCGCCACAAUAAGCAACUGUUGGUUUGGGGCCCCGAAGCAGCGGACAUUGAUUUGUAUAGUGUUCCUCCAUACAGAUCGCGCAUUCCGGUUUCACCAGCAGCUCCUUGCGUUUCCUCUUCUGCUUGCCUUGUUCAUCAUCGGUAAUCUUCCGUGCAGCCUCCUCAGUGAAGGUGUUGUUGACAGAAGCCCGGCCGGCACCUUGGUUUACUUGAACGGUCCCAUCGAAGGCAUCAGCACGGCGCUGGGCACCCACUGCAGCCCUGUUGACCUCAUCGUGGUCCUGUGCAGCGAGUUUGGGGGCGGUGCGGCCAUGACCAUGCGCCUGUGGUCCAGCCCCACGACCAGGUUGUGUACCUCCACGACCAUGCCCAUGGCCAGCGUUCCUACCACGUCCGCGUGCAUCAACCGAGCCUCUUCCCCGACCGCGGCGGCGAUCAGGUUCCGCACGGUUCGGGGCAUGCCGGCCCCGAAACCUUCCAAGGUCACCACCAGCCAUCAGCGCGUCGCGGUAGGAGAUUCGCGGCGGAACUUUGGCGGCGAGGAAGAGGUGCGGGUUCACCAGGCGCCGCCUAGGUCUCACAAUUCUGUCUUUCGUGUCGAAGUCAGCAGGUUGCGUAGCCCUCUGAACGGGUCUAGGACCUUGGGCCACCAUCCGUUGAUGUUGUUGGUGGACUUGACUGGGCGCUGCCGGUCCAGGUCCCUCCACGUGGAGCGAGCGUUUCACAGUUUGAAAUCCCGUGGAGAUCGGAUCGCCGCCGUUGAGCCGAGCGCCGGACAUGGCGCGCUGGAUGAAAUCACUGAUGGACCUCGCUGGUGAAACCCGUCGAGGAGACAGCGGCCCCUUCCAGAUCCUCUUCCAUGGUGGUCUUGUGGAUGGGAAGACCUCCUGUAGCGUGGAAGCCAUCAUCCGCCUCCCGAGUUUAUGAUCGGGAGCGUGAGAAUCUGUCACCGUAAUUCUCUGAAGCGCCUUCCGGACUGAUGGCGCGAUGGUCACGGUGGGCAUUCUCCAUACGCAGUCAAUGGAUGGAAGAUUUGGCGGUGUGGUCUGCUGGCUCCCGCUGUCCGCCGGCCGCGCACGGCGCGCAGCGCAGCGCAGCCGCCGGGGCCGGGCGCCGACUACGGUCCACCGGAGGCGCGCACGCAGGGUCGCCGGCCGGUGUGCGGAGGUGGCUGGCAGGGUCGCGGAAACACGUCCUUGCCGGAUCUCCGCUUAGUACAUAUAUACACAAGUAACAAGCAAAGAAGAUCAAUCUAACCUGCAACUACAAGUACAUAUGAAUCUAACCUGCAAGGCUGCAACUGCGUUCGGCCAGUUAAUAGCUAGGAACCUUAUAGAGCCGGAUGAAUGGUACUUGGACCAGACAGUCUGCAAUAUGCAUGACGUUGUUCGCUCAUUUGCUCAAUAUGUGGCAAGAGAUGAAGCAGUGAUAGCUCAGAAAAUUGAAGUUGGC
RNAcentral lists this long non-coding RNA (27796 nucleotides) under Sorghum bicolor (sorghum). RNAcentral describes it as "long non-coding RNA (SBIC_LNC007688)". Lineage: Eukaryota; Viridiplantae; Streptophyta; Magnoliopsida; Poales; Poaceae. The record is from RNAcentral.